UAGAGAGUGAAAACUCCCUUAAAACCACUGUUUAUCUACCUGUUUGUUGCUUCGGCAGGCGGUCCCGGGGGGGCUGUAGCCUGUAAAGGCGCCUGCCGAAGGUACCCAAACUCUGCUAUAAUCGUCAUCAGAGUCAACUGAAAAAUAAGUAA
RNAcentral lists this unclassified non-coding RNA (152 nucleotides) under uncultured Sordariales. RNAcentral describes it as "sequence contains ITS1". The record is from RNAcentral. Lineage: Eukaryota; Fungi; Ascomycota; Sordariomycetes; Sordariales.